UGCGAUAAGCGCCGGUAAGGUGAUAUGAACCGUUAUAACCGGCGAUUUCCGAAUGGGGAAACCCAGUGUGAUUCGUCACACUAUCAUUAACUGAAUCCAUAGGUUAAUGAGGCGAACCGGGGGAACUGAAACAUCUAAGUACCCCGAGGAAAAGAAAUCAACCGAGAUUCCCCCAGUAGCGGCGAGCGAACGGGGAGGAGCCCAGAGCCUGAAUCAGCAUGUGUGUUAGUGGAAGCGUCUGGAAAGGCGCGCGAUACAGGGUGACAGCCCCGUACACAAAAGCGCAUGUGCUGUGAGCUCGAUGAGUAGGGCGGGACACGUGGUAUCCUGUCUGAAUAUGGGGGGACCAUCCUCCAAGGCUAAAUACUCCUGACUGACCGAUAGUGAACCAGUACCGUGAGGGAAAGGCGAAAAGAACCCCGGCGAGGGGAGUGAAAAAGAACCUGAAACCGUGUACGUACAAGCAGUGGGAGCACCCUUCGGGGUGUGACUGCGUACCUUUUGUAUAAUGGGUCAGCGACUUAUAUUCUGUAGCAAGGUUAACCGUAUAGGGGAGCCGUAGGGAAACCGAGUCUUAAC
This 579-nucleotide ribosomal RNA is filed under the name Salmonella enterica subsp. enterica serovar Virchow. RNAcentral's name for it is "partial 23S ribosomal RNA". It matches the Rfam family "Bacterial large subunit ribosomal RNA", at positions 67 to 688 of the family's 2925-position model. The record is from RNAcentral. Lineage: Bacteria; Pseudomonadati; Pseudomonadota; Gammaproteobacteria; Enterobacterales; Enterobacteriaceae.